This 430-nucleotide ribosomal RNA is filed under the name uncultured bacterium. RNAcentral describes it as "bacterial SSU rRNA". It matches the Rfam family "Bacterial small subunit ribosomal RNA", at positions 917 to 1344 of the family's 1533-position model. The record is from RNAcentral.
GGACCCGCACAAGCAGUGGAGCAUGUGGUUUAAUUCGAAGAUACGCGCAGAACCUUACCAACACUUGACAUGUUCGUCGCGAGCCUAAGAGAUUAGGCUUUUCAGUUUGGCUGGACGAAACACAGGUGCUGCAUGGCUGUCGUCAGCUCGUGUCGUGAGAUGUUGGGUUAAGUCCCGCAACGAGCGCAACCCCCUACUUUUAGUUGCCACCAUUUAGUUGGGCACUUUAAAAGAACUGCCAGUGAUAAGCUGGAGGAAGGUGGGGAUGACGUCAAGUCCUCAUGGCCCUUAUGUGUUGGGCUACACACGUGCUACAAUGGCACUUACAAUGGGAUGCAAAGAGGCGACUCUAAGCUAAUCCCUAAAAUGUGCCUCAGUUCGGAUUGUACUCUGUAACUCGAGUGCAUGAAGCUGGAAUUGCUAGUAAUCG